GCCCUUGUGGCAUAGUGGUUGAAGCAUUUGGCUGCUAACCAAAAAGUCAGCAGUUUGAAUCUACCAGCUGCU
Molecule: transfer RNA, 72 nt
Filed under: Loxodonta africana (African savanna elephant)
Lineage: Eukaryota; Metazoa; Chordata; Mammalia; Proboscidea; Elephantidae
Rfam family: tRNA
About the family: Transfer RNA (tRNA) molecules are approximately 80 nucleotides in length. Their secondary structure includes four short double-helical elements and three loops (D, anti-codon, and T loops).
Source: Rfam by way of RNAcentral